CCUACGUGAGGCAGCAGUGAGGAAUAUUGGACAAUGGGCGCAAGCCUGAUCCAGCCAUGCCGCGUGCAGGAUGACGGUCCUAUGGAUUGUAAACUGCUUUUGUACAGGAAGAAACAGUUCUACGUGUAGAACCUUGACGGUACUGUAAGAAUAAGGAUCGGCUAACUCCGUGCCAGCAGCCGCGGUAAUACGGAGGAUCCAAGCGUUAUCCGGAAUCAUUGGGUUUAAAGGGUCCGUAGGCGGUUUAGUAAGUCAGUGGUGAAAGCCCAUCGCUCAACGGUGGAACGGCCAUUGAUACUGCUAAACUUGAAUUAUUAGGAAGUAACUAGAAUAUGUAGUGUAGCGGUGAAAUGCUUAGAGAUUACAUGGAAUACCAAUUGCGAAGGCAGGUUACUACUAAUGGAUUGACGCUGAUGGACGAAAGCGUGGGUAGCGAACAGGAUUAGAUACCCUGGUAGUCCACGCCGUAAACGAUGGAUACUAGCUGUUGGAAGCAAUUUCAGUGGCUAAGCGAAAGUGAUAAGUAUCCCACCUGGGGAGUACGUUCGCAAGAAUGAAACUCAAAGGAAUUGACGGCUGAGAGAGCGACGACGACGACGAGGGAGGAGG
RNAcentral lists this ribosomal RNA (609 nucleotides) under uncultured bacterium. RNAcentral's name for it is "bacterial SSU rRNA". It matches the Rfam family "Bacterial small subunit ribosomal RNA", at positions 338 to 951 of the family's 1533-position model. The record is from RNAcentral.